Molecule: ribosomal RNA, 370 nt
Filed under: uncultured organism
Description: partial 16S ribosomal RNA
Rfam family: Bacterial small subunit ribosomal RNA
Source: RNAcentral
GUAGGGUGCGAGCGUUAAUCGGAAUUACUGGGCGUAAAGCGUGCGCAGGCGGCUUUGCAAGACAGAGGUGAAAUCCCCGGGCUCAACCUGGGAACUGCCAUUGUGACUGCAAGGCUAGAGUACGGCAGAGGGGGAUGGAAUUCCGCGUGUAGCAGUGAAAUGCGUAGAUAUGCGGAGGAACACCGAUGGCGAAGGCAAUCCCCUGGGCCUGUACUGACGCUCAUGCACGAAAGCGUGGGGAGCAAACAGGAUUAGAUACCCUGGUAGUCCCACGCCCUAAACGAUGUCAACUGGUUGUUGGACGGCUUGCUGUUCAGUAACGAAGCUAACGCGUGAAGUUGACCGCCUGGGGAGUACGGCCGCAAGGUUG